AUCAUUGUCUUGUCUUUUGUUAGUUACGUUUUCAAUUCAUUCUUAAUUCUCUCUUCUAAUUCAACUUUAAUACUAUGUAAUGCAAUUUUAAUUCAAAUUUAAUUCAUUUUGAAGUUUUUUGAUUUAUUUGUUACUGUUGGAUACUUAUUUAAUUCACUAUUGAUAUAACUUAUAAGUUUAAUUCAGUUUAUAGAUCAUUAUCAUGUCUUUCGUUAGUUACAUUUUUCAUUCAUUCUUAAUUCUCUCUUUUAAUUCAACUUAAUACUAUGUAAUACAAUUUUAAUGCAAAUUUAAUUCAUUUUGCAGUUUUUUUAUUUAUUU
This 321-nucleotide long non-coding RNA is filed under the name Solanum tuberosum (potato). RNAcentral's name for it is "long non-coding RNA (STUB_LNC006387)". The record is from RNAcentral. Lineage: Eukaryota; Viridiplantae; Streptophyta; Magnoliopsida; Solanales; Solanaceae.